UACGGAGGUGGCAAGCGUUGCUCGGAAUCACUGGGCGUAAAGGGCGCGUAGGCGGCGUGUUAAGUCACUUGUGAAAUCUCUAAGCUUAACUUAGAACGGUCAAGUGAUACUGAUGUGCUAGAGUGCAGAAGGGGCAACCGGAAUUCUUGGUGUAGCGGUGAAAUGCGUAGAUAUGAAGAGGAACACCUGAGGUGAAGACGGGUUGCUGGGCUGACACUGACGCUGAGGCGCGAAAGCUAGGGUAGCAAACGGG
This 253-nucleotide ribosomal RNA is filed under the name uncultured bacterium. Its description in RNAcentral is "partial 16S ribosomal RNA". It matches the Rfam family "Bacterial small subunit ribosomal RNA", at positions 524 to 776 of the family's 1533-position model. The record is from RNAcentral.